This is a long non-coding RNA of Hippocampus comes (tiger tail seahorse), 2343 nucleotides long. RefSeq lists it as uncharacterized. Lineage: Eukaryota; Metazoa; Chordata; Actinopteri; Syngnathiformes; Syngnathidae. The transcript is spliced from 2 exons. The record is from RefSeq and is a predicted model, not a curated record.
GAAGAUAUAUUUUGUUUUGAAAAGGUAAAAAAAAAAAAAUGUGAAUAUUGAAACGUGUGUGUGUGUGGUUGCAACGUACACCCGGAACUGUUUUGUCGGAUGAAAUCUCUCCGCUUCUGCUGCCCUCCCGUCCUCAUUCUGGAGUUUGGCAUCCAGAGCAAAUGUGGUUGGACAUGCGCUCUCUUUUCUUAACAUCUCAUCAACCGUCGUCAUCAUCAUCCCAGACUUUGCCGACCGUUAGCUUGCGUGCAAAGUUUGCACGGUGACCGUAGCAGCAGCAGCAGCAGCAAUUCAAAAACAAAAAAAGCUCUCCGUACGUUGUCUGCUUCAGUAAGACUCUUUCACUGCAUUACUUCUCUCUUUUUUCCCCCCCUUUGGCAAUAAUACAAGAGAAGUUGAGAGCUGACUGUUGCAGGGCCGAGCGGGCGGAGUAGCUUUCCCGAUUCGAUUCCUUUCUCUUCACGGUUCUUUUUUUUUUUUUCUGAGCGUUGUCAUUGGUGUCAGAAUUCUUUGGCCUUUGGGGUUUCAUUGUUUGUGGAACACAUAUAUAUAUAUCUCAUCGAGCAGUUUAAUCAAAAGUGAUGUCAGGCGAGAUUUCAGGUUUGCAUGGAAGCAACUGUCAUUCCAAAGUUUGUUUUUAAGGACUCAGGUUGUGUUGAUGGGAAUGUGUGGCCGCGCGGUAGGUGUUCAGCGCUUUUAUUUCUGAUCAACUGAAGUCAUGAAGACCCAACAGUGAUGUGGAGAGAAAAAAAAAAAAAUCAGCGCAUGCCUCAUGUCAAUCAACGCGGGAGGGCAAGAGCAGAGUUUUGACAAAGCCUCUUGGCCGCCGCUGUUGGUUGAAUACUCCACAACAAAACACUGACCACUGUGCCGUGUCGUCGAGCAAAAACGUCUUCCUCCCAGAGGCAAAUGGCAACACACUUGGAGUGUGUCAAGGUAGCUUGUCUUAUUUGGUAUCGUCGUCUUUUUGGGGAGAUGGUCUCGCUAGCAUCAUCCGCGACGCAUCCGGCAUCCCGAGCGACUUAAUCGGUCCACGCAGCGCAGUCAAAAGGGAGUCAGAGCUUCCGAAAAUGAUGUCAGGCAAGUCGAGCGGGUGAAGACGGGAGAUCGCAAAUGGCUGUUUGGUGAUCGAUUGAGUCAUGAACGAAGCCGUCGCCUUUUCUGCGUGGAAGUCCCGCUGGUUCGGGGCUCGUGGCGCUCCGGUAGCUUCGCUUUGCAAGCUGGGAGGCCGGUCGGGGGUGUGCGACGCUCACCAUUAAGGGUCCCAUGUCGACCCGGUCCACGUUGGCUCCGAUUGAAACAAAAAGCGUAAAUUCGGCCUCCUGGACAGCACUAUGGAAGCGGCACUGUUUGUUUGGGGGUUUUUAUUUCAGUACAGUUUUCAUCUCGAAAGACAGAGCUGCGGCGGUCACGGGUCAAAACGCUGCAUACAGAAACUCCUCACCCACGUCUGUGUGUGUGUGUUUAAGGCCAAGACUUGUUCCUUUCUCGUUUAAUCGUCACAUUUUGUCCGCAUCAUUAUCAUCGUUCAGGUCCUGAAAAAAAAAAAAGAUGUCUCUGUUUUUAGUGCGUAAUACUGCCCCCUGUCCGCUGUACUACCUUUUUCUUUUAUCAAUUCGAAUCAUGGGUUCUUUUUCUUUCCUGUAUGCUUUACAGUGACCUUCGGGGUGUAAUGUCCUCUCAAAAAAAAAAAGCAAACAAAAAAAGAAACCAAAACACAAAUCCAGUUUGUGUCCGGUGCCCGUUUGAUCAUGUGAUGCCUCUGAUUGACACCUACCGUGGCGCUCUCGAGGGCGCACGUUUUGGGGGAGCGUGUUUCUCGUACCAAGAGUUUCUUUGCCGUUGGAAAGACACGCCCCAUCAUCAGAUUGGUUUCCAUCACAUCUUGCGGACCGACGUCAUGCAUCCACGCAAGUUUUCCAAAGAUCAAACAUGUUUGUUCAUUGUUCAGUCGAUCUAACCGGACUGCGCGGCGGACGAACGGGACGACAAAGUGGACGCUGGGGUUUCCGCAUUUUAUUUUUGAAACGCGCUAACGCAUCCAGAACUGUAUAGAGUAUGUUUCAACGGGACGUUCGCGAUCUACCUUUUUAUAUUUUGAAGAGAGAGAGAAAAUAGAAACAUAUCAAGAAAAGUGUCAUCGUUGAACAGAUUUCUACUACUGAGACUUAAAAUGUAUGAAUGUCAAUACGAACUAAUGUGAAACCAAUCUCCAUAGCAGCUUGAACAAAUUAACUGGUUGGAAGUCAUGAGAUGCUUUUCUUUUGUUUGGUUUUUUUCCUCCCAGAGACGUUGAAAAUUGCUUCAAUGCGAUGAACUUAAAUAAAAUGGGGGAGAAAAUUG